This 797-nucleotide long non-coding RNA is filed under the name Theobroma cacao (cacao). RNAcentral describes it as "long non-coding RNA (TCAC_LNC006467)". Lineage: Eukaryota; Viridiplantae; Streptophyta; Magnoliopsida; Malvales; Malvaceae. The record is from RNAcentral.
GCAAUAGUUUUCGAGACGGGGGACUCGAUGUUUACAAAUUUGAAGGACUGGUUCAAGAAGCUUUUAGCAUUAUGGGGAGUUUCUCUGCAUCUGACUUCUUUCCUCGUGUUGGUUGGAUCAUAGAUAGGAUUACAGGAAUGCAUGGAAGGCUUGAAAGGAUUUUCCAUGAUCUGGAUCUUUUCUACCAAGAGGUUAUAGAUGACCACCUGAGUUCAGAGAGGCACAAGCAAGAAAAAGAUGAGGAUAUAAUUGAUGUUUUGCUGAAAAUAAAGAAAAAUCAAGCCGACUCUUCUGCUUUCCAAAUCACCCAUGAUCAUAUUAAGGCAAUCCUUAUGGUAAGGCAUUAAUCUGUUCUUUAUAUUUGAUGCAUUCUAAUUAAAAUUCCAUCAACAUAUUAUAUAAGGAGAAUUAUAAUAUAUAAUUUGGUAAAAACAAAUACCCAUAGAUUUCAUAAUCACAAUGAUUAAGUGUGUGGAUAUUUGUUUUUGAAUAUUUUUCACUUGGGAAUUAUAUUGGAUACAUAUUGAUGGGUAGAUUUUACAUAGGACCAGCAAACCAGAGAUUUUCAACUUAUAGAUGAGUGUACUUCUUACUUAGUUUUAAGGAAAAAAUCAAGUUUGUUACCUCGGUGUAAAAAUUAUUAAGAUAUUUACACUAUUGCAUAUCUUUUCACAUAAUUUUAUCAAUUUCAAUACAUUAGCCAGAUUUCAUACUCGAUUUUUAACAGAAGUAGGAAUUUUAUAUGGCUUCAUUAAUCAUACCUGCUCCCAGAAUAUAUUUUUCGCUGGAGUUGAGAC